Diceros bicornis minor is the source of this 420-nucleotide long non-coding RNA. RefSeq lists it as uncharacterized. The transcript is spliced from 3 exons. NCBI's taxonomy places the organism in Eukaryota, Metazoa, Chordata, Mammalia, Perissodactyla, Rhinocerotidae. The record is from RefSeq and is a predicted model, not a curated record.
GUUAUGUUAGUGGGACUGGAUCCUGGGCAAGUGGACCAGCAUCCCUGGAAGCUUCACUGAUCCUGGAGAACCAAGGAUUGGCAUGUGUGUGCAGGGAUUUACUUCCUGGAAGAAGCCACAGCAAGUGGAAGACGACCACAGACUCCAGACUCCCUCCUCCUAGGCUAAGGAUAAUGACAGGUGGUUGCCGUAACUUCCAGAAGUGGAAUACUUACCCUGAUGUGUCGCAUUGUGAAGAACAUUCUGGAAACAGCCGAAAUCUUCUUCAUUAGUAAGAUGCUGUGGCAAGCUUUUCUCUUAGAUCAUUGCGCCUGAGCUGGAGAUGGGACUAAAAAUAAAGAAUCUAGCAACUGUGAAGACUAAAUUUGCUCUAAGGUCUGUAUUCCCUACUUUGGGUUUCCAUUGCUUAGAACUAUUAAC